GGUCUAAUCUAUCUUCUCGGUGCUUCUUCUGUAGUCUGAAAACCUACGCUUUACUCUUGGAGCUCUAAGCGGCAAAGUUUUCUCUUGAGCUAACUCUUCCCAACAACGUGCUAUCUUUCUCCCACUCUUAUUAAAUCCAAUUGCAUUAGACUCAACCCCCAUUAUGAUAUGUCGCAAUUUUUACAAGGGACUGUUUUCUUUUCCUUCCAUUUCUGGGUUUUGCUGUUUCUGGUUCUAAUAUCUAUGGGUCGUUGCCUUCAAUUUAUGGGUCGUUCCCUUCAAUUUACUUAUAGUUGCAUGAACGGAAUAGUCUUGCUUCGCAUCCACAUAUGUUUGAUUUUACGUGUUGGGUUUCCAUGAAAUUUUGAUGAUUUUGUGGGUCUACUCAGAGUUGGAUGAGCAUUUAGCUAGAAAUCCUGAUAGCUAGACAAGGUAUAAUCUCUUGACUGUCUCUCAUGUAUUACUGAUGGAAGUGUUUAUGCAUGUUUGUUAUCACCUUGGUAAUGCAACAACUCGACCGCGGGAUUUGUACACGGAAGUGCAAUGUAACAUCUGCUACAACACGGUUGAUGACAGUCUCCUGCUGUUGUGCGACCUUUGUGACACUGCUUGUCAUAACUUAUAUUGUUGUCCUUGGUACUAUGUAGUUGUGGUAUAGGUACCGUGUCACGACCCAACCGGAGGGCCAUGACGAGCACCCGGUGCUGUGCUAACCCACCCGGGUACCUCUUAUCGUACUCUCAUAUUCACAUCUAGGUGAGCCACAUGGCUUACUCAUAAUUUAUAUGCAUUAAUAGUGCUAAUCUCAUUGGGCAACAACACCUCUAUAUCUUCAUCAAUAACAAUGCCCAUAUCCAUAUACACAAGCCGACGAGGCUAUCAAAAUGAUAUACAAAAUAUGAGCCAACAAGGCUAAGGACAUCUAAUCAUAUACAACUGUCUACAAGCCUCUAAGAAGAGUAGAGUAUGUCACAUCAUAUAGGCAGGACAUGACCCCGUCAUGCCCAUAGGUAUGUACACAAAAGAAUAAUACCAAAAGCUGUAGCUCCGGAUGAAAUGGAGCUCCUCUAUGCAGUCCCUGAAUAAGAUAUCUAUGGAUCAAGCCUGUCUCCCUGUCCACCUGCGGGCAUGACGCAGCGUCCACAAACAAAAGGACGUCAGUACGAAUAAUGUACUGAGUAUGUAAAGCGUAAUCAACAUCAUAAUAGGAGCAUAAGAGACAUCAUAAGAAAUAGCAUAAGAAGGGAGAAUCAAGAGAUAGUAGCCAUCAUCGUAAUUACUUACUUGUCUUUCAUAGGGACCUUCCAUUUAUAGUGCGUGCUUGUGUACAUACAUAUAUACAUAUACAAAUAUCCAUAUCCGUAUUUAUAUACAUAUUCGCAUUCAUAGCAUACCUGACCAUGAAGGUUCGGUGGUUUCACAUACCCGGCCAUGACAAGGCUCGGUGUCGUACAUACCUGGCCCUACCAAGGCUCAGUGUUAUCCGUACCCAACUGCAGUGGUGUGCGCAAUAGGUAUCAUACCCGGCCAUAUAAGCUCGGUAUUACAUAAUAGUCAUACAUACUUAAAUUCGUAUACAUAGGAGUUCAUGAGUAUUAUCGUCAUUAUUGACAUCAUCAUUUUUGUUAUAUAUAUCCUUAGAGGAUCAACUAUCAUAUAAAGAGGCAAUAGAAUCGUGAACGUUUCGAGAAUCGUGAGCUUUGGUAAUCUUAGAGAUAGGGUCAUUUGGAAGACAUUAUAGAACUUAUGAAAGAUACAUAUAGCAAGGGAACCAUGCCUUAAUGAAAGAAAGGUUAGCCUUACAUACCUCGUUGUCUUCUUAACUACUUAACGUUCCCCGUUGAAGCUUGAAUAAUCUACAUUUAAAAGGAUUCAUACCAUGGUUAAGCCUUAAUGAUACUCUUCAAUUCAACCUAGGAUAAUUCAUGUUCUAAUGAAAAUUGGGCAGCAUUUCCCCUAUUUCGUCAACUUCCACUAUAUCACAAAACAACUCCCAACAACCACAAUAAUAUCCACAAUAUCAUAAUCAAGUAUUCACAUUCGACUUAGCCUUCAAAAUUCAUCCUUAUGUUUAACUUAUGCUAGCAACUUCAUACCCAUUUUAGCACAUUUUCAUAAUAAUGCUUCCUCAUCACCAUUAUUACCUUCCAUAGCAAGAUUAUAUCCAUAUCAUACUAAGAAUUAUAACUCAAGUUAGCUUACUACUCAAAAACAUCAUAAAAACUACAUUUAGAACUCAUCUUCUACUUUCUCCUUCUACACAAGUUGUUCAACAACUAAACAUUCUUGAUAACAUGUAAUAAGUAUGAAAACAACCUUUUUAUCUCAUAAGAAUGAGCUUUGGAGCAAGCUAUCAACUUAAAUAAAAACCCUAGCUUCAAUAUCCAAAGAAUUCUUGGAGUCUAAUAACCCUAGCAAGGCUUCUAACACAUGGGUAUCUUGAUUCUUGCCUCUUGAUAUUUAAUCUCCCUUGGAUUUUGACUUGGAUUAGUUUAUGGAGUUGAAGAGAGGGUUUUUGGAGAGCCUUUGGAUCUGAUUGGUGAAAUGAAAUGUCCAAAUGAAGUGAGUAAAUUAUAUAAAGCGGAACUUAAAAUCCCGUCAGACAAUUAUGCGCUCAUUUUGAUGGGCCGUCAAAAUUCCUACGGACGGUCAAAAUGGUCUGUAGAACUGACCAGUCAAAUAUGGAUCACUGUGACCAUUUUACGCUGGGUUGGUGCAGUUUGACAGGCCGCAGAAUUUUCUGCGGGGCGUCAAAAUUCCUGCGGCCCGUCAAAUGGUCCGCAGAAAUUUUCUGCUCAGACAGUCUGUCGUAAAACACCCACAACGUUUUACUCAAACGUCACAUUUGUUGCGUUGGAAACUAGACUCGAUGAAAUUCAAUUUGGACAAAAGAAACACACCAAAACUCCUCAUAUUAUAGGAGAUAUGCCUCCCCCAAUCUGGACCAAAAUCCUGUUCGAAAAUUUUGCAAAUUUUACCAAAGUUCCCACAAACUCCAUUCCUUUAUUUGUUUGUUCUUAAAUCCUUCCAUAGCUCAGUUCAUGGGAUUAAAACCCCAUAACCAUAAUAUGGGAACAUGUAAUCUCAUAUAUCCUAAGGUAACUCCCGUUUCCACGAUUAGGACAACUAACGCCUAACGAAUCUCAACGGACGAAACUACGAGGUGUAACAUACCGUCAAGCUUAAUUUUAUGUUUUCAAACUGCAAAUCAAUGGCAAAGAAGAAUAAAAAAGAAGUUUUCCUUAGAUACCUUCUCAAAUAAUGAAUAUGAAUUAAUUUUGGAGUUAGGACAUGCCUUGUUUAUAAUGUUUAAAUUCGUAUGCCAGUAACACCCUCAUUUUGCA
Lycium barbarum (goji berry) is the source of this 3344-nucleotide long non-coding RNA. RefSeq lists it as uncharacterized. The record is from RefSeq and is a predicted model, not a curated record. NCBI's taxonomy places the organism in Eukaryota, Viridiplantae, Streptophyta, Magnoliopsida, Solanales, Solanaceae. The transcript has 3 exons.